Small nuclear RNA from Arabidopsis thaliana (thale cress), 195 nucleotides. The record is from RefSeq. NCBI's taxonomy places the organism in Eukaryota, Viridiplantae, Streptophyta, Magnoliopsida, Brassicales, Brassicaceae.
UAUGAGGUGCAUACUAUUAAUUUCUCUUGAUGUGGUUUCUUCUGCUUCAGUAUAAACAAAAUUUUGAAUUGUAUAUAUUUUCUACAGUAUAUGGGAGAGCUAGGGUGCCAUUUUGAAGUUUACCGCAAUGAUGAACUUACAGUUGAGGAGCUGAAAAGGUAAGAGGAAAAUACAUUCUGUGUAAAACGUAAUAUG